Pan troglodytes (chimpanzee) is the source of this 253-nucleotide long non-coding RNA. RefSeq lists it as uncharacterized. NCBI's taxonomy places the organism in Eukaryota, Metazoa, Chordata, Mammalia, Primates, Hominidae. The record is from RefSeq and is a predicted model, not a curated record. The transcript has 3 exons.
ACAUCUGGCGCUCUGGAGGCUUUUCUGCCCCCGAAGGGCUGUGGUUCAAACCGACUUAACCAUUUCCACAGAGAUGCUCUACAAUCACUUACAACAUCCGGAAGGAUAUAUAAGAAAGGAUGACUGUCUCUGCAGAGGGAAACACAGAAACUGGGGAACUGUGGCCUCUGGAAAGAGACACAAGACACUGGCAAGACUAUUGCUUACAAAGAGCAGAAGUGAGUGGCUGGAGCAAAAAUGAGUGACCAGGGAA